AUGCUGUGGGUUCUCCAGGGUUUGUCACUCCCCAGAGUGUCAACGUUUGAAACAGGACUUGGCUGUCUCACAGUGGGUGGCCGGAGGCAGUGCGGUGCCCAGCAGGCAGCCUUGGUGAGAGCCGUGAGCAGAGAGAGAAAAGCGAGCCUCCCAGGAGAGCUGGGUGGUGGAAAGGGUGAGGGAGGUGGGAGUGAGGUCCGGCAGUCACUCAGGGGUGGAUGGGCCAGCAGAGUUCCUGCAGCAGAGUUAACAGCACAUGAGGGCCAAGCCUGCGUCAGCUGGGUUAUGCUGUUGGUGAUCUCAGGCAGGACUUGGAGGAGUCUGGUACAGCGCCCAUUGGCAUCCCCACUGACGGCUGUUUUUAGACUAGAGUCAGAAAUACACCUUCGCCACAACCACCACACUGCCCAGAGGCUGGACAGAGCGCAGGUCAGCAGCCAGGCCCUGAGGUCUCACACGACAGGAGAAGACCUGUGGUUGGGUCCACUUUGACGAUGGGAUCAGUGCCCCGAGGAGAGGUGCCCUGUUAGGAAUGGGAUACCUCAAAUAGGGAACAGAACCUAAGUGAUUUUUUAAUGAGCUCUCUAAAGCAGUAACAUAUUUGAAAAUGUCUCGAAAGCAUCCAGGGAGGAGAAUCCUUGGAGGUGUGUGUAAGGCACUGUCUGUGCGCACCUCCUUUCUAAAACCACAGACGACAGAGCUCCACCCAGAAGGGAGUCUUCUGGGGAAGAUUAUGCCUCGUGAGCCUGCAUCACUGGGCACCUGGCACAAUAUGAAAGUCGUGGUGAUUGUUUACAAUAUCAUCCCUCUCAGACAGGGCCUCAGAAAUUGUGUCUUUCCAGGAGGCUGGUGUUUGGGGUGGUUUCCAUGGAGGCUGUGUCUGUGAGGUGGACUGAGGAUUUAAGCAAAUCCGCAGAAUCAAAACACAAUAAGGUGACUCUGCAGAAUCAAAACACCAGUCAAAAAUGGCCAUCAUCCACAAACCAUAAACACUGGAGAGGGUGUGAG
This 1008-nucleotide long non-coding RNA is filed under the name Capra hircus (goat). Its description in RNAcentral is "lncRNA (ENSCHIG00010013862.1)". The record is from RNAcentral. Lineage: Eukaryota; Metazoa; Chordata; Mammalia; Artiodactyla; Bovidae.